Aedes aegypti (yellow fever mosquito) is the source of this 360-nucleotide long non-coding RNA. RefSeq lists it as uncharacterized. The record is from RefSeq and is a predicted model, not a curated record. The transcript is spliced from 3 exons. Lineage: Eukaryota; Metazoa; Arthropoda; Insecta; Diptera; Culicidae.
UCAGAAGACCAUCCCUCGAGAAGGAUAUCACCGUGGCCAUUCCGGAGGAAAUCGUCCACGAACUCGAGGUGGAACGUCCCGAGUUGGCGAAUAUUACAAACGACGAUUCAGCUGACCAAGGUCUACGAUGCGAAAACUAAGCAAUGGACGACAGUAGAUCAGAAAAAACACACAGAUGUGCUGGAAAAGAUCAGUUACCUUGAGGAAAGCAGCGGACGCCACCGAGUUGAACGAGUCUGAGCGGGUUAAGAACCUGCAGUCUAUUGAUACAGUUGACAAAACCAUCAUCAAAGACAGAAGUGAUCUUAGCAAAUUGAAUCGGCAAACCGAGAAAGUCGUCAAGGAGCAAUGCAUCUGUGA